GAUGAACGCUGGCGGCGUGCUUAAUACAUGCAAGUCGAGCGAACAGACGAGGAGCUUGCUCCUCUGACGUUAGCGGCGGAUGGGUGAGUAACACGUGGAUAACCUACCUAUAAGAGUGGGAUAACUUCGGGAAACCGGAGCUAAUACCGGAUAAUAUACUGAACCGCAUGGUUCAAUAGUGAAAGACGGCUUUGCUGUCACUCAUAGAUGGAUCCGCGCCGCAUUAGCUAGUUGGUAAGGUAACGGCUUAUUACGGUAACGAUGCGUAGCCGACCUGAGUGGGUGAUGUGCCCCUUUUGAACUGACACCCGGUCCAGACUCCUAAGGGAGGCAGCAGUCGGCAAUCUUCCGCAAUGGGCGAGAUACUUACGGAGCAACGCAGCGUGAGUGAUGGAGGUCUUCUGAUCGUAAAACUCUGUUAUUAGGGAAAAACAAAUUUGUAAUUAACUAUGUACUUCUUGACGGUACCUAAUCAGGAAGCCCCGGCUAACUACGUG
Molecule: ribosomal RNA, 497 nt
Filed under: uncultured bacterium
Lineage: Bacteria
Description: partial 16S ribosomal RNA
Rfam family: Bacterial small subunit ribosomal RNA
Source: RNAcentral